This is a long non-coding RNA of Passer domesticus (house sparrow), 664 nucleotides long. RefSeq lists it as uncharacterized. The record is from RefSeq and is a predicted model, not a curated record. NCBI's taxonomy places the organism in Eukaryota, Metazoa, Chordata, Aves, Passeriformes, Passeridae. The transcript is spliced from 2 exons.
GUUGCCUACUCAGCUGUAACCAUUUUUAGGAUAUUUGAGGUGUGGGGUUUUUCCUCCCUGAAGCUGAAUUCAACACAAUUUUCUGUCAAAUAGAAAGUGAGAAGUUUUUUAGAAAACAUGGAAUUUUUCAGACCAUUUAAAAUGGAUAUAACACAUUCAUUUCAUUCACAAAAGAUGGUUAACUAAACUGAAAAUGGAAAUCUUUAUUAUUCAUAAAAGAAUUGUUCGAUAUUGGGCUCUACAAAUAAACUUCAGCAUAUCCAGGAAGAAGAGUGUUACAUCAUGUGGGCUCCUGUGAAAUCAAGGCAAGGAUAUUCAGCGUGUAGCUAACACACCUAGCCUGUGAUUGAGACACUCAAGCAAUGCAACACAAAAUUGCAUUUAUUUAACAUAUGAACACUGUGGACUGCUGUGUGUGACUGGCAGGAAAUUCUGCACCCACCCCACUGGGACACCUAUUUCCCACUGACCAAAAGCAGCUGGGGAAAGGGCUGGGCAGCUCUUGGGAAGGGAGCACUAGAAAGCCUUCAGAAAGAAUCAGCCCUUCCAGGGUGUGCAGAGCCUUCUGCCAGAGCUGGAAGCAGACCUGUACCUGUCUGGAGAAACAAGGCUACAAAGAAAUAAUCCUUUAGUAUUAAAACUAAAUGAAGUUGAUUCCAGUGAA